UACGGGGGGGGCAAGCGUUGUUCGGAAUUACUGGGCGUAAAGGGCGCGUAGGCGGCCUGCUAAGUCGGACGUGAAAUCCCCCGGCUCAACCGGGGAACUGCGUCCGAUACUGGUGGGCUCGAAUCCGGGAGAGGGAUGUGGAAUUCCAGGUGUAGCGGUGAAAUGCGUAGAUAUCUGGAGGAAUACCGGUGGCGAAGGCGGCAUCCUGGACCGACAUUGACGCUGAGGAGCGAAAGCUAGGGGAGCAAACGGG
This 253-nucleotide ribosomal RNA is filed under the name uncultured bacterium. RNAcentral describes it as "partial 16S ribosomal RNA". It matches the Rfam family "Bacterial small subunit ribosomal RNA", at positions 524 to 776 of the family's 1533-position model. The record is from RNAcentral.